Molecule: ribosomal RNA, 465 nt
Filed under: uncultured bacterium
Lineage: Bacteria
Description: partial 16S ribosomal RNA
Rfam family: Bacterial small subunit ribosomal RNA
Source: RNAcentral
GACGAACGCUGGCGGCGUGCUUAACACAUGCAAGUCGUACGGUAAGGCCCUUUCGGGGGUACACGAGUGGCGAACGGGUGAGUAACACGUGAGUAACCUGCCCACAACUUUGGGAUAACGCUAGGAAACUGGUGCUAAUACUGGAUAUGUGCUCCUGCUGCAUGGUGGGGGUUGGAAAGCUCCGGCGGUUGUGGAUGGACUCGCGGCCUUUCAGCUUGUUGGUGGGGUAGUGGCCUACCAAGGCGGCGACGGGUAGCCGGCCUGAGAGGGUGACCGGCCACAGUGGGACUGGGAUACGGCCCAGACUCCUACGGGAGGCAGCAGUGGGGAAGAUUGCACAAUGGGCGCAAGCCUGAUGCAGCAACGCCGCGUGCGGGAUGACGGCCUUCGGGUUGUAAACCGCUUUCAGCAGGGACGAAGCUUUUUGUGACGGUACCUGCAGAAGAAGCACCGGCUAACUACGUG